UGCAUAUGUGUGUGUACAUGUGCAUGUGUGUGUAGGUGUGUGUGUAUGCAUUUUUGAAUCAAGCACCUUUCUGGCUGCAGUGGUAGACAGACAAAUCACAUGUCAUCUAUAGUGGAACCUACCACCUGGUCUGAUAGCUGCAGUAGGUAGGGCUUAUUUGCCCUGCCUUGACCAACCAUGGGCUGUAGACUCCUAAGCUGUGUGGUCUUCUGCCUCUUGGGAGUAGGCCCUUUGGAGACGGCUGUUUUCCAGACUCCAAAGCAUCGUGUCACACAGGUGGGAAAUGAAGUGUCUUUCCAGUGUGAGCAAAAGCUGGGCCACGAUACUAUGUACUGGUACAAGCAAGACUCUAAGCAAUUGCUGAAGAUCAUGUUUAGCUACAAUAAUAAGCAACUCAUUGUAAAUGAAACGGUUCCGAGUCGCUUCUCACCUCAGUCUUCAGAUAAAGCUCAUUUGAAUCUUCGCAUCAAGUCUGUAGAGCCGGAUGACUCUGCUGUGUAUCUCUGUGCCAGCAGCUAAGACACAGUCAUGCAGAGUCACUGUU
This is a non-coding RNA of Apodemus sylvaticus (European woodmouse), 544 nucleotides long. NCBI's taxonomy places the organism in Eukaryota, Metazoa, Chordata, Mammalia, Rodentia, Muridae. The record is from the annotation of a RefSeq genome assembly.